Molecule: ribosomal RNA, 276 nt
Filed under: uncultured prokaryote
Description: partial 16S ribosomal RNA
Rfam family: Bacterial small subunit ribosomal RNA
Source: RNAcentral
UACGUAGGGGCUAGCGUUAUCCGGAAUUACUGGGAGUAAAGGGUGCGUAGGUGGUUUCUUAAGUCAGAGGUGAAAGGCUACGGCUCAACCGUAGUAAGCCUUUGAAACUGGGAAACUUGAGUGCAGGAGAGGAGAGUGGAAUUCCUAGUGUAGCGGUGAAAUGCAUAGAUAUUAGGAGGAACACCAGUUGCGAAGGCGGCUCUCUGGACUGUAACUGACACUGAGGCACGAAAGCGUGGGGAGCAAACAGGAUUAGAUACCCGUGUAGUCCCUGAG